Oncorhynchus nerka (sockeye salmon) is the source of this 1549-nucleotide long non-coding RNA. RefSeq lists it as uncharacterized. The record is from RefSeq and is a predicted model, not a curated record. Lineage: Eukaryota; Metazoa; Chordata; Actinopteri; Salmoniformes; Salmonidae. The transcript is spliced from 2 exons.
AGGUCAGCUCACAGUUAACCUCACAGGUCAGCUCACAGGUAACCUCACAGGUAACCUCACAGGUCAGCUCACAGGUCAGCUCACAGGUAACCUCACAGGUCAGCUCACAGGUAACCUCACAGGUCAGCUCAAAGCUUUUGGAGUCCAACGUUUAUAGGUAGGGCCCUGAGUAUUUCCCAGUCAGGAAAAACUAAGGGCUUUACACAGUUUUGAAUUCAAAGUGCUUUCCUCACACCCUAACACUGACCAUUUAGUAUUCUCCUUUUUGCAUCAUGAUUUCCACUGUGCAGAGGAUCCAUCAAGAAUUCUUGCUUUCGUCACAUUAACCUCUAUUAGUAUCCAAUAUAAAUUGACUUACCCUACCAACAUGACCUUAUUGAUUGCAUACCUGAAUGUGACGUGAUUUUCAAUUAUAUUGAUUCUGAUUUUGUGUGUUACAGUACGAGACCAGCACCAGGGUCCUGGAAAUGUUGCGGAUAAACAGGAAAUUCCAAAGAACAGUUACAUGAGUGUGGCUGCUGUAUGUGUGGCAGUAGCCUCUCUUGCCAUUGGACUGCUGCUUCUCAAGCUGUUUCAAGCCAGAAGACUCAGACAAGAGCCUCAGGAUACAGCCGUCCCAGCAGAGCACAACCCAAGCACCAGGACAGGACCGUUUCCGUAAGCGACAGAUGUAUUAUCAGGGGUGCCAUGUCUGCUCUGUCUCUCACGUCACAUCGCUAACUGAAUGUGAAUGCUUUGACUGGAGGAGGGAGCAAUCUGGCUCAACACUAUUCUGUUCCCCCUCUGCAGGAGAAAUGGAGUGCACGCAUUGUCCUGCUACCAAGCUAAUUGUUAGCAGCAUUGUCUGUAGUUGUUAAUCACAGACUAUUCUUUCAUAAUUGUUUUAUAUAUUGUAACUAAAACUGAAACAAAUGCACAUAUUUAGUGGACAUUGAUUUGACAGUGAAGACACUCGUGUGAUACAGUAGCAGUGUGUGAAAUUGAUCUUGACAGAACACAUUUACUUUGUGCAUCACAAUUUGAAUAAGUAAUUUAUUCAGAAGCCAAUAUUGUGUUUUAGUUCAUUUGAGAGUUGCUUUAGUUGACAAAUGCCAUGUUUUUUAUUGUUACAAAGUGGGAUUCAUAUGUAUUUAAUUGUCAUUUUUUUUGUAAACAAUCUACAUAAUAUACUCUGUCAAAGUGGAAGAAAAAAUAACACAAAAAAAGUGUAGCGACCCGAACAGCUGUGUUAUGUAUUAUGCUGUUGGUUGUGUUGUACUUACCAGUACGCAGUGUUCGCAGGGUCCCACAUGCCAGUCAAUCUGCUAUUGUGUCCUUUACCAUUUGUACAUUGUUAAACAAAACACUGUGUAUAUAUAUAUAUAUAUAUAUAUAUAUAUAUAUAUAUAUAUAUAAUAUGACAUUUGUAAUGUCUUUAUUGUUUUGAAACUUCUGUAUGUGUGAUGUUUACUGUUAAUUUUUAUUGUUUAUUUCACUUUAUAUAUGAUCUGCCUCACUUGCUUUGGCAAUGUUAACACGUUUCCCAUGCCAAUAAAGCCCUUGAAUUGAA